AAAAAAAAAAAACAGAAACACAAAUGAAUUUUAUAAUUUAUUCAUAUUUUUCUUUCCGCGAUCGGCUCUUUUUGUGCGCGAAUAAUCCACUAAUUUUUCCCGCAAGACGCACUUAGCACCAAAGACGCUCAGCUACAACGGUACAACAAAUGAAACGAGAAGGCAGCAAUUUUUGGUCGAAUAACAACAAAUCACCAAAAAAAACGGGACACGUUGACAUAUAUAUUGGUUUAAGUUAGUGGAAGGCGCGGCUAAGAGGCAACGGUACAGCAACUGGAAUUUCCAAGCAACUCCACUCAA
Drosophila miranda is the source of this 300-nucleotide long non-coding RNA. RefSeq lists it as uncharacterized. The transcript is spliced from 2 exons. NCBI's taxonomy places the organism in Eukaryota, Metazoa, Arthropoda, Insecta, Diptera, Drosophilidae. The record is from RefSeq and is a predicted model, not a curated record.